GCACAUUCCAGCCAAUCAGCAGCAGACCCUCCCUCCCAGACCCUUCCACCUCCUGGACAGCUCACUAAGAAUGCAGCUUCACAAUGAAUGCAAAAUGGAUGCUGUCCAGGAGGUGGGAGGGUCUGGGAGGGAGGGUCUGCUGCUGAUUGGCUGGAAUGUGUCU
RNAcentral lists this microRNA precursor (163 nucleotides) under Pelobates cultripes (western spadefoot toad). Lineage: Eukaryota; Metazoa; Chordata; Amphibia; Anura; Pelobatidae. The record is from RNAcentral.